UAGGGAAUCUUCCACAAUGGACGCAAGUCUGAUGGAGCAACGCCGCGUGAGUGAAGAAAGUUUUCGGAUCGUAAAGCUCUGUUGUUGGUGAAGAAGGAUAGAGGCAGUAACUGGUCUUUAUUUGACGGUAAUCAACCAGAAAGUCACGGCUAACUACGUGCCAGCAGCCGCGGUAAUACGUAGGUGGCAAGCGUUGUCCGGAUUUAUUGGGCGUAAAGCGAGCGCAGGCGGAAUGAUAAGUCUGAUGUGAAAGCCCACGGCUCAACCGUGGAACUGCAUCGGAAACUGUCAUUCUUGAGUGCAGAAGAGGAGAGUGGAAUUCCAUGUGUAGCGGUGGAAUGCGUAGAUAUAUGGAAGAACACCAGUGGCGAAGGCGGCUCUCUGGUCUGCAACUGACGCUGAGGCUCGAAAGCAUGGGUAGCGAACAGG
Molecule: ribosomal RNA, 429 nt
Filed under: bacterium
Lineage: Bacteria
Description: partial 16S ribosomal RNA
Rfam family: Bacterial small subunit ribosomal RNA
Source: RNAcentral